CCUACGGGAGGCAGCAGUGGGGGAUAUUGCACAAUGGGGGAAACCCUGAUGCAGCGACGCCGCGUGGGCGAAGAAGUAUUUCGGUAUGUAAAGCCCUAUCAGCAGGGAAGAAGAAAUGACGGUACCUGAGUAAGAAGCACCGGCUAAAUACGUGCCAGCAGCCGCGGUAAUACGUAUGGUGCAAGCGUUAUCCGGAUUUACUGGGUGUAAAGGGAGCGUAGACGGCCAUGCAAGCCAGGGGUGAAAGCCCGGGGCCCAACCCCGGGACUGCCCUUGGAACUGCAUGGCUGGAGUGCGGGAGGGGUAGGCGGAAUUCCUAGUGUAGCGGUGAAAUGCGUAGAUAUUAGGAGGAACACCAGUGGCGAAGGCGGCCUACUGGACGGUGACUGACGCUGAGGCUCGAAAGCGUGGGGAGCAAACAGGAUUAGAUACCCCAGUAGUC
This 442-nucleotide ribosomal RNA is filed under the name uncultured bacterium. RNAcentral's name for it is "partial 16S ribosomal RNA". It matches the Rfam family "Bacterial small subunit ribosomal RNA", at positions 338 to 795 of the family's 1533-position model. The record is from RNAcentral.